This 207-nucleotide ribosomal RNA is filed under the name uncultured bacterium. RNAcentral describes it as "partial 16S ribosomal RNA". It matches the Rfam family "Bacterial small subunit ribosomal RNA", at positions 568 to 774 of the family's 1533-position model. The record is from RNAcentral.
UGCGCAGGCGGUUAUAUAAGACAGAUGUGAAAUCCCCGGGCUCAACCUGGGAACUGCAUUUGUGACUGUAUAGCUAGAGUACGGCAGAGGGGGAUGGAAUUCCGCGUGUAGCAGUGAAAUGCGUAGAUAUGCGGAGGAACACCGAUGGCGAAGGCAAUCCCCUGGGCCUGUACUGACGCUCAUGCACGAAAGCGUGGGGAGCGAACA